GAUGAACGCUGGCGGCGUGCUUAACACAUGCAAGUCGAACGGAAAGGCUCCUGCUUGCAGGGGUACUCGAGUGGCGAACGGGUGAGUAACACGUGGGUGAUCUGCCCUGCACUUCGGGAUAAGCCUGGGAAACUGGGUCUAAUACCGGAUAGGACGAUGGUUUGGAUGCCAUUGUGGAAAGUUUUUCGGUGUGGGCUGAUCUCGCGGCCUAUCAGCUUGUUGGUGGGGUAAUGGCCUACGAAGGCGUCGACGGGUAGCCGGCCUGAGAGGGUGUACGGCCACAUGGGGACUGAGAGAGGGCCCAGUGGCCAACGGGGGGCAGCAGGGGGGAAUAUGGCCCAAUGGGGGCAAGCCUGAGGAAGAGGCGCUGGGGGGGGGAUGACGGCCUGUGGGUGGUAAACUCCUUUCGCUAGGGACGAGGCGCAAGUGACGGUACCUGGAGAAGAAGCACCGGCUAACUACGUG
RNAcentral lists this ribosomal RNA (465 nucleotides) under uncultured bacterium. Its description in RNAcentral is "partial 16S ribosomal RNA". It matches the Rfam family "Bacterial small subunit ribosomal RNA", at positions 28 to 507 of the family's 1533-position model. The record is from RNAcentral.